CGUGUAGGCGGGUCGGAACGUCGGUCGCUGAAAUCCCCCGGCUCAACCGGGGAAGGGCGCCGAUACGGCCGACCUGGAGGGACGUAGGGGGGGCUGGAACUUCCGGUGGAGCGGUGAAAUGCGUUGAGAUCGGAAGGAACGCCCGUGGCGAAAGCGAGCCCCUGGACGUCUACUGACGCUGAGACGCGAAAGCCAGGGGAGCGAACG
RNAcentral lists this ribosomal RNA (207 nucleotides) under uncultured bacterium. RNAcentral describes it as "partial 16S ribosomal RNA". It matches the Rfam family "Bacterial small subunit ribosomal RNA", at positions 568 to 774 of the family's 1533-position model. The record is from RNAcentral.